GGGGACAAAGUGACAGGUGGUGCAUGGUUGUCGUCAGCUCGUGUCGUGAGAUGUUGGGUUAAGUCCCGCAACGAGCGCAACCCUUAAGCUUAGUUGCCAGCAUUAAGUUGGGCACUCUAAGUUGACUGCCGGUGACAAACCGGAGGAAGGUGGGGAUGACGUCAAAUCAUCAUGCCCCUUAUGAUUUGGGCUACACACGUGCUACAAUGGACAAUACAAAGGGCAGCUAAACCGUGAGGUCAUGCAAAUCCCAUAAAGUUGCUCUCAGUUCGGAUUGUGGUCUGCAACUCGACUACAUGAAGCUGGAAUCGCUAGUAAUCGUAGAUCAGCACGCUACGGUGAAUACGUUCCCGGGUCUUGUACACACCGCCCGUCACACCACGAGAGUCUGUAACACCCGAAGCCGGUGGAGUAACCAUUUAUGGAGCUAGCCGUCGAAGGUGGGACAAAUGAUUGGGGUGAAGUCGUAACAAGGUAGCCGUAUCGGAAGGUGCGGCUGGAUCACCUC
Molecule: ribosomal RNA, 508 nt
Filed under: uncultured bacterium
Lineage: Bacteria
Description: bacterial SSU rRNA
Rfam family: Bacterial small subunit ribosomal RNA
Source: RNAcentral